Molecule: unclassified non-coding RNA, 354 nt
Filed under: uncultured soil eukaryote
Lineage: Eukaryota
Description: sequence contains 5.8S rRNA gene, ITS2, 28S rRNA gene
Source: RNAcentral
AACGCACCUUGCGCCCUCCGGUAUUCCGGAGAGCAUGCUUGUUUGAGUGUCGUAUCAUCCUCAACCCCCAACAUCUUUCUUGCCUCACUCCGGGUGGCGCGAUCGAUCUGCAUUGGGCGUUGGAUCGUGGCCCGUCUGCCGUUUGCCGUCCGCGGAGAACAGCUCGGCCGAAAUGAAGACAAGUGACUGCACCCAAGCGUGUUGAUCGGCUUGAACUCGACGUUGUAAUUGCUUCUUCGUUGAGCUACGAUUUGCGCGUCCGCCCUCCACGGUGGAGCUGGGCUCACUUUGAGAACUACUAUACAUACGAGCAAAAUUGACCUCAAAUCAAGUAGGACUACCCGCUGAACUUAA